UGAGACAGGAAGGCAGGAUGUUGAUACGCUAGGUUAGCAACUUAUCAGGAGAUGGUUACGUGAGCUUUGCAGCAGGGUCUUUGAACAAAAGAGGCAACUGAGAUGCUGAAGGAGAGAAGGGGAGGGGGUUCUCUUUUUUUGUUACAUUAAGCAAAGGAAUUUUCAUAGUGUCUAGCCAAGCAUUAGACAGCUCCUUACUUCAGCAGGGAGUUUUCACAACUCCCGUUCCUCAAACGGAACUCCUUGUUUUUAUAAUACAAAAGACAAUGAACAAACAUUUAUUGUGUAUUACGGUCCCCACAUCCCAUCCCAAAGCAUGCAGGGGUUGAGCAGGAGCCACCUUUAUUCCAUGGGACAGGGGACAACGGGGACAGGGACAACAGGGACAGGGACAAUGGGGACAAUACGGACAAAGGACAUGGGACAAUGGGGACAGGAGACAAUGGGGACAAGGGGCAGGGGAAAUUGGGGGAUGGGGACAAGAGGGGACACGGGGAGGGGGGACAAAGUUGGGGGUGGUGGAGACAGGAGGAGGAGGGGACGGGGACAAUGGGGAUGGACCGGGAAUGGGGGGACACCUGGGGACAUGGGGGAACUUGGGGACAUUUUGGGGUGUUGGGGGCACCUGGGGACACCAGGGGACACCAGGGGAGACCAGGGGAUGUUGAGGGACACUUGGGGACAUGGGGGAUAUGGGGGACACCCAGGGGUGUUGGGAGACACCAGGGGACUUUGGGGACUUGGGGACAUUGGGGUCACCUGGGGAUUUGGGAACACCAGGGGACGUGGGGAUGUGGAGACUCCUGGGGGUCUUGGGGACAACCAGGGGGUCUUGGGGACACCAGGGGCCAUUGGGGACGUCCCUCAGAUGGCGAUGCUGUUCUCGAUGGCGGCGGGGUCGAGGUAGGGGUAUGGCAGGGGCAGCGCGGCGUUGGGGACAUUGGGGACACCGGGGGAUUUGGGGACUCCUGAGGGUCUUGGGGACAUUGGGGACACCUGGGGACAUUGGGGACUUUGGGAACAUGCAGAGGCGUUUGGGAAAUGUGGGGUUGGAGACAGCUGGGGAUUUGGGGACACCAAGGGAUGGGGAGGCUCCUGAGGGUCUUGGGGACACCUGGGGACACUGGGGACAUCUGGGGACAUUGGGGACACCUGAGGAUUUUGGGGACAGGUGGGGACAUUUGGGAAAUGUGGGGUUGGAGACAGCUGGGGAUUUGGGAACGCCUGGGGAUUUGGGGAUACCAAGGGAUGGGGAGAUGGGUGAGGGUCUUGGGGAUAACCAGGGGGUCUUGGGGACACCAGGGGACAUUGGGGCCACCAGGGGACAUUGGGGCCAUUGGGGACGUCCCUCAGAUG
This 1356-nucleotide long non-coding RNA is filed under the name Anas platyrhynchos platyrhynchos (common mallard). RNAcentral describes it as "lncRNA (ENSAPLG00000023965.1)". The record is from RNAcentral. Lineage: Eukaryota; Metazoa; Chordata; Aves; Anseriformes; Anatidae.